RNAcentral lists this ribosomal RNA (745 nucleotides) under uncultured bacterium. RNAcentral describes it as "bacterial SSU rRNA". It matches the Rfam family "Bacterial small subunit ribosomal RNA", at positions 33 to 773 of the family's 1533-position model. The record is from RNAcentral.
ACGCUGGCGGCAGGCCUAACACAUGCAAGUCGAGCGGUAGAGAGAAGCUUGCUUCUCUUGAGGGCGGCGGACGGGUGAGUAAUGCCUAGGAAUCUGCCUGGUAGUGGGGGAUAACGUUCGGAAACGGACGCUAAUACCGCAUACGUCCUACGGGAGAAAGCAGGGGACCCUCGGGCCUUGCGCUAUCAGAUGAGCCUAGGUCGGAUUAGCUAGUUGGUGAGGUAAUGGCUCACCAAGGCGACGAUCCGUAACUGUUCUGAGAGGAUGAUCAGUCACACUGGAACUGAGACACGGUCCAGACUCCUACGGGAGGCAGCAGUGGGGAAUAUUGGACAAUGGGCGAAAGCCUGAUCCAGCCAUGCCGCGUGUGUGAAGAAGGUCUUCGGAUUGUAAAGCACUUUAAGUUGGGAGGAAGGGCAUUAACCUAAUACGUUAGUGUUUUGACGUUACCGACAGAAUAAGCACCGGCUAACUCUGUGCCAGCAGCCGCGGUAAUACAGAGGGUGCAAGCGUUAAUCGGAAUUACUGGGCGUAAAGCGCGCGUAGGUGGUUUGUUAAGUUGGAUGUGAAAUCCCCGGGCUCAACCUGGGAACUGCAUUCAAAACUGACUGACUAGAGUAUGGUAGAGGGUGGUGGAAUUUCCUGUGUAGCGGUGAAAUGCGUAGAUAUAGGAAGGAACACCAGUGGCGAAGGCGACCACCUGGACUAAUACUGACACUGAGGUGCGAAAGCGUGGGGAGCAAAC